Molecule: ribosomal RNA, 253 nt
Filed under: uncultured bacterium
Lineage: Bacteria
Description: partial 16S ribosomal RNA
Rfam family: Bacterial small subunit ribosomal RNA
Source: RNAcentral
UACGUAGGGGGCAAGCGUUGUCCGGAAUCAUUGGGCGUAAAGAGCGUGUAGGCGGCUCGGUAAGUCCGCUGUAAAAGUCCAGGGCUCAACCCUGGAAAGCCGGUGGAAACUGUCGAGCUAGAGUCCGGAAGAGGCGAGUGGAAUUCCUGGUGUAGCGGUGAAAUGCGCAGAUAUCAGGAGGAACACCAAUGGCGAAGGCAGCUCGCUGGGACGGUACUGACACUAAGACGCGAAAGCGUGGGGAGCAAACAGG